GGUACAGUGGGAAGACAGUCCCUCUUUUCUGUUCCCACCACCCAAGGCACGGUCCCCCACAGCAGAGGCAUCUCCGCUUCCUGUUUCCGCCAUUUCAAGGGAUGGCGCUCCCAUCUCUUUAAGCUGCCGCUCUUCCAACUUGGCAGGGCUGAUUAGGAAGACCCAGUUCCUGACCACCGAUGCUUUGCUACGCUAGGCUGGAAAAUGCCUCCCUCUGCCCUUGAGAAGGGGGUCUGAAUGUUUUGCGGGACUGACACCGCAGCAACAUGCCGGUGUGUUUCACGCUGCUGCCUCCUGUUUCCCUUGAAGCUUUCACCAGACCCUGGAUUUCUUUUUCACUUCCUGUUCUGAGCCAUCGCCGGGCACUCAUUACCCACCAGCUGUGUCCCAGCUGCCGCAUUCUACACUAGAGGUGGCGCCCUGCACCCGGCGGAAAUGAAGAGAAUCAGACUACCCACCUUGGAUUCUGAUAUGAAAGAUUUAGGAUAAAAGAGCUACUCCAUCAGCCUGGAAAGAUGACUCACUGGCAAACUCUUAGAUAAAGCUAAACUUCACACCAAACUGCAAGAGAGUCUAAGAAUGAAGAGAAAACUGCUUUGGCAAGCAACUACCUAGUCUCUGACACAGUCCACCUUUUUGGUCAGCCAAUAUCCAGCUCCGCCUUGUCUUCUUACACAAAGCCCAGGCAAAGCCCAGGAUUGCUAACUGUUGUACAAACCUGUUGGUCAGGCCUAGAUGGAAGCUUUCAACCCCAUUUCAAGUCAGCUGGCUUAUCCAACCCUGAAAGGUCUGUGAUCUCUCAGUUCUUUUUAUAAACAGGCCUCUGCUUGCAAAUGGCCAAUUCUUGCCUGAGCUCAUCUCUUUCUUGUAAUACUUUAUGAAAGGCAGCCAGUAGUAACUAAUGCAUAAAUUUUUCCAACCAACUGGCCCAAAGGUCAGUAGACCUUUUUACCAAAUGUUUCGCAAUGUAUAGCAUGAAUCUCCAUCUUUCUCCUCUCUGUUAUCAGGUUCCUCAGUGCCCAACCAUUAUGUCAAUGCCUUUUACCUUAAUUUUUUUCUUAUGGCAACAUUUUCUUCUGGAAUUAUUUCUGUACUGUAGCAAAUGCCCUAAACUGUGUAAAACAGUUUGAAGACACUAUUUUUUUUUCUAUUUUUAUCAUUUGUUCCUCGGUCUACUCAAUACGCUCCCUGCUUAAAACUCCCCUAGUGAUUUUCUGUUGGGUUUAAAAUAGAGUCUAAACUCUUUACCAUGGAUUACAAGCUUCUCUGUUAACUGGUUGUAACCUGCAUUUCCAGCCUCCUUUGGCGCCACUCUUGUCCCACCAACUAUAUCACAUUUCCUUUGGAACAUUUUCUGCUUCUUGAACUUGCCCAGGUCCUUGCUGUUAGCUGGUCCCUUUGCCUAUGAUGAUCUUCCUUCUUAGCAUCACUUGAACUGCAAAAAAUAAAAAAUGAAAC
RNAcentral lists this long non-coding RNA (1458 nucleotides) under Homo sapiens (human). RNAcentral's name for it is "HSALNT0383328". Lineage: Eukaryota; Metazoa; Chordata; Mammalia; Primates; Hominidae. The record is from RNAcentral.